AAGUCCAGCAGGAAGUUGCUGUCACUUCUUGUUUCUGCUUCCCUAAUACUGAUCUCCAGAAGAAGUGGACAGAUUCCAGAGCCUACAGAACUGGAGAGCAGGCCUGUUGACCUAUGAUGCUUUCAGCAGGACAAUCCUGCUACCACCAAGAUCAAGCACCAUGCAUGGACAUAUUCUAUACUACAUUGGAGACCAGUAAGUUCAACAUCAGAAAUUUUUUCCUUCAGGAUUAAAAGAGAUUGCUGCUUCUUCGAGUCAAUACAGAUGAAAUAGUUUAUGUUUAGAGGCCAUGUUUUUGAAAAGGCAAGAAUAAUGACUGUCCUGCCAACCACUUCAUCUGAGUCCAGCAGAAUAACUGGAACACAUUGGCCCGACUGAAAAGAAAAAUUUUAUUAAACGAUGAAUGA
Talpa occidentalis (Iberian mole) is the source of this 407-nucleotide long non-coding RNA. RefSeq lists it as uncharacterized. The transcript is spliced from 3 exons. The record is from RefSeq and is a predicted model, not a curated record. NCBI's taxonomy places the organism in Eukaryota, Metazoa, Chordata, Mammalia, Eulipotyphla, Talpidae.